This 578-nucleotide ribosomal RNA is filed under the name Trichoderma sp. MKZ-2007a. RNAcentral's name for it is "eukaryotic LSU rRNA". The stretch from base 190 to 343 matches the Rfam family "5.8S ribosomal RNA". Lineage: Eukaryota; Fungi; Ascomycota; Sordariomycetes; Hypocreales; Hypocreaceae. The record is from RNAcentral.
CUCCCAAACCCAAUGUGAACGUUACCAAACUGUUGCCUCGGCGGGAUCUCUGCCCCGGGUGCGUCGCAGCCCCGGACCAAGGCGCCCGCCGGAGGACCAACCAAAACUCUUAUUGUAUACCCCCUCGCGGGUUUUUUUAUAAUCUGAGCCUUCUCGGCGCCCCUCGUGGGCGUUUCGAAAAUGAAUCAAAACUUUCAACAACGGAUCUCUUGGUUCUGGCAUCGAUGAAGAACGCAGCGAAAUGCGAUAAGUAAUGUGAAUUGCAGAAUUCAGUGAAUCAUCGAAUCUUUGAACGCACAUUGCGCCCGCCAGUAUUCUGGCGGGCAUGCCUGUCCGAGCGUCAUUUCAACCCUCGAACCCCUCCGGGGGGUCGGCGUUGGGGAUCGGCCCUCCCUCUGCGGGGGCCGUCUCCGAAAUACAGUGGCGGUCUCGCCGCAGCCUCUCCUGCGCAGUAGUUUGCACACUCGCACCGGGAGCGCGGCGCGUCCACAGCCGUUAAACACCCCAACUUUCUGAAAUGUUGACCUCGGAUCAGGUAGGAAUACCCGCUGAACUUAAGCAUAUCAAUAAGCGGAGGA